AUUUAUGAAGCCUUCAUCUCGCUGUAAAGAUAACAUAGAUAAGGAGAACAGAAGAACACCCUGCAAAUUGCAGUGCCUCAGCAGCUCUUAUCUCAAUCUUUAUGAGAGCUGAUGGUUCUGGGAAUUCGAAGCUCAUACAUAGUCACUGCGCCCACAAAACACUGACAUCACAUGACUAGCAAUAAACCAUGGCUCACAUUUCUGGAGAGCAGAGCACGCCUCUCCCUGCCUCUCGAUGCAAGGAGACGAGUUUGGGACAAGAAGAGAAAAUACUGUCAGCAGCAUAGGGAUACCCCCAUCCGUGAGCCAGUGGCCAUUUGCACUGAGAAGGCACCGGUGGCGCAGCACCAUUAAAAUACUACUUUCCAUUAAAGAGCUCAAAUCCACUCUUCCAGCCCGUGCUCCCACUUCUGGAACACACGAGGCUUUGGGCUUGCUGGAGGAGCUCAGCAUCCUGAUGGAGUCCCCUGGGAGAAGGACGGUGCCUGCUCCGACCCAUAAGUUUAUGGCACGUCAUGGUCUGAGGUCAUCAUCAAAAUGAGGAGAAUUGCAGUGAGAAAAAGUGAUGAAUAAAGGCCUGCCUCAUGGCCAUCUGCUGUGCCACUUUCUGCUGCGAAAAGUUGGCAAGCAGUCAGUCAUCGCUAAUUCCCACUGUCGGGUUCUUAGAAAAAUCUGGGAUGGCCGUUUGGCAAGGUCACCAGCUCAGCCACGGCGUGGUGUUGUCACAGCGAUACCACUGCCAGCUGCAGCACAGCCCAUGCGCCCUGCCCACGCGCUCGUGGCACGGAGGGAUGAGUGUCACCCAUCCAGCUGCUGGGGGCCGUCCUUCACACCCAGCAGCGGGCUCUGGACCACCAGAGGGUCCCAGUAACAGCGUGGGUGACCGUGUGGUCGAGCGGAGUCAUUUCCCAGCACUAAAGCAUAUGAGUGUUUCUCCUGCAAUCUGUUUCCAACCCGCUGUUAAAAGAACAAUAAUAAAUAAAUAGAAUGAAAAGU
This is a long non-coding RNA of Cygnus olor (mute swan), 996 nucleotides long. RefSeq lists it as uncharacterized. The transcript has 2 exons. The record is from RefSeq and is a predicted model, not a curated record. NCBI's taxonomy places the organism in Eukaryota, Metazoa, Chordata, Aves, Anseriformes, Anatidae.